UACGGAGGGUGCAAGCGUUGUCCGGAUUUAUUGGGUUUAAAGGGUGCGUAGGCGGUUUAUUAAGUCAGUGGUGAAAGACGGUCGCUCAACGAUUGCAGUGCCAUUGAUACUGGUAGACUUGAGUAUGAUUGAGGUAGCUGGAAUGGAUAGUGUAGCGGUGAAAUGCAUAGAUAUUAUCCAGAACACCAAUUGCGUAGGCAAGUUACUAAGUCAUAACUGACGCUGAGGCACGAAAGUGUGGGUAUCAAACAGG
Molecule: ribosomal RNA, 253 nt
Filed under: uncultured bacterium
Lineage: Bacteria
Description: partial 16S ribosomal RNA
Rfam family: Bacterial small subunit ribosomal RNA
Source: RNAcentral